RNAcentral lists this ribosomal RNA (252 nucleotides) under uncultured bacterium. RNAcentral's name for it is "partial 16S ribosomal RNA". It matches the Rfam family "Bacterial small subunit ribosomal RNA", at positions 524 to 776 of the family's 1533-position model. The record is from RNAcentral.
UACGAAGGGGGCUAGCGUUGCUCGGAUUGACUGGGCGUAAAGGGCUCGUAGGCGGCCAACUAAGUCAGGGGUGAAAUCCUGGAGCUCAACUCCAGAACUGCCUUUGAUACUGGCGACCUUGAGUCCGGGAGAGGUGAGUGGAACUGCGAGUGUAGAGGUGAAAUUCGUAGAUAUUCGCAAGAACACCAGUGGCGAAGGCGGCUCACUGGCCCGAUACUGACGCUGAGGCACGAAAGCGUGGGAGCAAACAGG